UGAUGGCACACGACAAAUUACGUGCAAAUGUACUGUUAAAGAAGAUCAAAAGCUUCAUCUCUAUAAGGCAAGUCUUUUGCUACUGGCUGAGUAUUAUUUAUGGACAACGGGUCCAAGUUUAUAAGUUGCCUCUUGUGUUAAGGAGACUUUUGCUAGUGGAAACAUUGAAACAAGACUUAUGAUGUUUUGAAUUGAAUGAUAUAAUCUUUUCACUGUGAAUUAUGAAGGAGAUGUCGAAUAUAAGCGAUAGAUAUCAAGAAAGAGACGAAACCUUUGUGUCUCAAAAGAACCUUUUAGAAGUCUCUCCAGGAAUAAUCUCAGUUAAGAGGAAAAGAAUUAAAAUGAAAAGAAGGAAGAAAAUUCUCAAGAAGUAAGACUAAUUCUACAUCUAAUUGAGGAACAGGCUUGUUAAUUUAACAAGGAAAGCUCCAGUAGCUAUUUAUUAUAAACCAAUUAAAAAUUGAAUUAAAUUAAUAGUUAACUUGUAAUUGAAUGUCUAAUCCAACAAACUAUGCAUAAGAUUACAGAUGUAACUAUGUAAUACAAAAAACCUCUGCUUAUCGUAGACCAAAGUGAAUAUGCCAAUAUUUAGGAAUUUCUUUCAGCAUCAUGGGAUUUAGAUCCCUAUAAUUUUUUUUAUUUUAGUGUAGUGACAUCCGGAAGACCAGAAUUAUCACGUACCUCGUAGUAGUCAUUUUAUGUCUUUUAAAGCGCCACAUUAUUUCCCAUACAGUCAUAAUAUAUCUAUUUGUUGUUUAUUUAUUGUUGUCGUGUGUGGAGUCUCAUCUUGAAUAUGAACAUUUUUCCGGUAGGUCGAGCUGAACUCUGUUCGUCACAUGGUAGCAGACAUGUUAUGCGUUCAUAAAAAUCUAGACCUGAGGUUGGCACUAUGUUCAAAGAGUACCUUAUCUGCUCUCUCGGUAAGUCAAUCUGCUACUCUGUGCAUGUUUAGCUGGACUUUUAAGUUACGCCUUCUUUUUUCCCCUUUUUAUUUUUUUUUGGUCAUUUGCUUGUUGGAAUCAUCAUCAUUACAGAAUGAGGAAGAAAAAUUCAAGACCAGGGGAAAUAAGGAAAUAUUAAACUUAUAGCUUUUGUUUUAUCAUAGAAAGUUUACUUUCAAGGGGUUGAGAAAAAAAAAAAUUAUAUAUAUAUAUAUAUAUAUAUAUAUAUAUAUAUAUACACACAUACAUAUAUAUAUAUAGGGAUGGCAAAAUCCGGGUCUGGGUCCGGGUUUAGCCUUCCCGGUUCCGGACCCGGACGCCAUUUUCUUUCUCUCGGUCCCGGAUUAAAACCCGGUUUUUUCACUUCGGGUCCGGUACGGGUUCAACCCGAAAAAAUCCGGGUUUUGAACCCGGAUCAAUGAAUUAAUUUCUAUAAUUCCAAAAAUAAAAUCUUCAUAUGAAGAUGGCGAUUUUUCACUGGAACCAGAGAAAAUAUUUAUGGCACCUAGAGGGAGUUCCCUCUGUUUUGCAGAUCAUUUAUACAGAACAAAAUGAUUAAAUACCCAAAAAGGAGGAUCACAUGUCUGCAGAUUUGGCCCGCGGAAAAGAUUCAACACAAUCUCCAAAACCAUUUUAGAAUCCGCGAUGGUGAAGAUGCGUUGUCACAACUCAAACAACGACAGCCGAUGAUGAUGAAUACAGGAGCUACAAGGUUGCGACGGUGGUGAACCCAAGAGAACGAGUUGCGACGGUGGCGAACCAAGCUUGCGACGGUGGUGAACCCAAGAGAACGAGUUGCGACAGUGGCGAACCAAGCUUGCGACGGUGGUGAACCCAAGAGAACGAGUGGCGACGGCGGCAAACCAAGCUUGCGACGGUAGCAGCUUGGAUCGUAUGGUUGUUUGGUUGCAGCAAGCGGCAGCUUCAAUGUGUGAAUGUGAGUAUGUAAAUUAGGGUUUUUGUUAUGUUUGUAUUUAUAUUAAAUAAAAAAUAAUAUUAAAAUAAGAUAUCCGGGUCCGGGUUCCGGAUAUACGGGUUACUCUAAACUCGGAAUCGGACCCGGAUCUAUCCGGGUCGUUAAAAUUCAUUCCGGAUCCGGAUUUUUUUACACUCCGGUACGGGUUCAACCCGGUCCGGAUUAUCCGGAUUCGUCCGGGUCCGAUCCGGGUCCGGGUUAUUCUGCCAUCCCUAUAUAUAUACAUACACACACGACAACAAUACAUAUAUAUACAAAAUUGUGGUAUCGUGCCACAGUUGCACUCAACCGUUGGAUUUCAAUGGACCCCACCUAUCUAAAUGGAUCCAACGGCUGGAUGCAACUGUGGCACGGUACCAUAGUUGCACCGUAGCCAGACCCUGCAAAAGUAUAUUGAAGUUUUUUUCUGGCCUUUUAUGUAAUCACACCCGCCAGUAAUGAGAUAAUUUACAAAAAGGUCCUUGAUGUUCUGUUAAAAUUUAAUUAAAUUAGUAAAUUCAUCCAAAACGGCAUCGUUUUGAAUGUGUUUUUAUUAAGAUUUAUCCAGCAUUUCGUACAUAUAUCAGUGCUUUUUUUUUUUUGUUUAAUUUUUAUAAAGUGUUGGUUAGAAGGCAAACAUCUUACAUUAAAAUGGAGUCUUCUUGCGGCGGCCAAAGGAGAUAUAUAUAUAUAUAUAGGCACACACACAUACACUAGAGUUUUGUUUAAGUUAUAUUUCACAUGGAUUAAGUUGUAGAUGACAGAUCUCUAAAAGCAUCUUGUAAAAUUGUACAUUAAAAAAUAAUAGUUCUAGUAGUGUUAAAGGCAGCUGCUGAAAACAGUUUCUACUUAUGCUGCGUUUACUAAACUGGAAUCGGAAUGAGUUGGAAUCAGAAUGGACGGGAAUCGAAAUGAGCUGGAAUGAGAAUCAAAAUAAGUUGUUUACUUGAACUGUAGGAAUCGAAAUCGGAAUGAGCUGGGUUGCCAUUAAUGUGUUUACUUUGUCUUGAAUCGGAAUCAGAAUGAGUUAGAUUGUAACAAAUUACUAAAAAAUACUUAAUGAAUUAUUGUCAUAAUUAUUAUUAUUAACUAAUUUUAAAUUUUUUAUCAAAUUAUUAUAAUUAUAUUAACAAUUAUUAUAAAAAUAUAUUAACAAAAUAAUAUUAAUAUUCAAAAAUUAUAAUUAUUANNNNNNNNNNNNNNNNNNNNNNNNNNNNNNNNNNNNNNNNNNNNNNNNNNNNNNNNNNNNNNNNNNNNNNNNNNNNNNNNNNNNNNNNNNNNNNNNNNNNAAAUCACAUCUCAUGACUCAAUCAAACAUAUAAUAUGCAAAUAUAUAAUCAUGAUAUUAAAUCAUAUUAUCAAAUAUAAAUGCUUCACGAAAUUCAUAUUAGUAAUAAUAGUAUCCACUCACAGAUCAUGUUUCACUUCGGGGUGUUUGUUGGGGCUCCUAUGGGUUCUUGAAUUCUUGAGUUCCUCCUAAAAUAUAAGAUUAAAAAAUUAACUAUUAAAACUGAUAUAAAAAUUGAUACGUAUCACAAAAACUGUAAUAUAACUGUUCAAACUUCAUAUAUCUAUUACCCAUUAAUUCAUUGGAUAUUAAUGUAAGUGUUUAAUUUCAUUUCCUAUAACAUUCCCUCUCAAUUUAUCUUUUUAAUUUCUUUUCCCACUCUUGGCUUCUUCCUUUCUUUUAUUUUUUUUCUUUCCUCUUCUCUUUUGCUCUCAGUUUUUCUUCUUUUUCUUCUCUGUCUCACUUCAAAAAAUGAUGCAAAAUGAGAGCUGGUUUCAAUUCCUUCAAAUUCAUAUAUGUCCACCGACUCAAGCACACAAGUAGAGCAUACGGGUGAAGCAUGCACGUGCCUUGCAUGAAGCUGGUAGCUUGCUGCUGCUUUGAUAAUUAGCCACGUUUGGCUUAUAAAGAAGCGGUGAAGCAUGCACGGUGCAUUACAUUCAUGCUAUCUACGGAAUGAUAAAAACUAAACUUCAAGUACAGCGGAGUAAAACCUGUGCACACAGCUUAACAUUUUAUGUGGCAACUCUGGAAGAAAUCUCACAAUGAAAAUAAAAAUUACAGGCGAAUGUUGCAAGUAUAUUUCAUUCAUAUGUCAAUUUUUGAAAACCUUGCUCUGUAAGUAAACCAACCAAUCUAUUUGUGACAAAUGGGAACAAGACAGUAACCUCCUUAUUUGAUGACAUGCAGCAUUUGCAGAAGCUGAAACAGUAAACAUGGGAAUGAAAGGAUUAGAAUCAUUUGAUAUAUUUUUUUUUAACUAGAAUUACUUCCACCGUAACUGAUAUAAUUAAAUAAGAGAGAAUUUACAAACUAAUUUUUUAAAUUCUCUCAAAUAAGUAAGCAUAUUAAUUAAAAAAUUUAAAUUAAAAGUAUUUCAUUUAAUUAUUUUUUUAUUGAAAACUAAUAAUUAAUACAUAUGCAUUCUCUACAGGUUUAAUCAGGUUUUGUUGUUGUACACAUUAGUAUAAUAAGUUUAAAUGAAGUUUAAACUUUGAUAAUUUAAAUUAAAAUUCUCACAAUUAUUUGAAGAUUGUGGUUCGGUGAAAUGAAGUUUAUCCAGUAUAACAUACCAAAAAGGGGGCGGCUAAGGAGGCAGCCAGGAGGCAACCGAGAGUUAGCAAAAGAGGCAAGAAAAAGGCAACAAGCCAACAAUGAAGUCAAAAGCUCAAGAAGGGAAGCGGUGAAGCAAAUCCGACAAACGCAAGCAAGAGUUAAGCUGGCUGUUUCGCAUGACACAUGUGAAGCUUCAUCACAAGCUGGCUGUUUCGCAUGACACAUGUGAAGCUUCAUCACAAGCUGGCUGUUUCGCAUGACACGUCUAUGCUAUUUUUCUUCUGGAUUUAAUCUAUCAUUGUCGACGACGACGAUUUGCUAACCUCACAAGUGAUAAGGACUCUACAAGAGUACAAAACAGAGACUCGUAAUACUACUGAAUAUAGCAUUUCUGUUUCCUUAUUAAUGGAGAAAGGCAGUUAUGUUUUUGCAGCGGUCAAGGGCAUUGAAGAUAUUAUGGCUUUACUUAUCAUCGUUAGCUUCCUUCUGUGUCUCCCAUUCUUCCUCUUCUUCUUUGUUUUGCAAAGGCACAAAACCUCGAAAAAUAAUACUAAAUUACCACCAGGCCCCCGGGGCCUUCCCUUCAUCGGUAACUUACAUCAGUUUGAUGUCUCAAAGCCUCAUGUGUCAUUUUGGGAACUAUCGAAAAAAUAUGGCCCCCUCAUGUCCUUGCGUCUUGGUUUUGUGCCGUCCUUAGUAGUUUCCUCAGCAAAAAUGGCUAAAGAGAUAUUGAAAACCCAUGACCUUCAAUUUUGUAGCAGGCCAGCCUUGGUAGGGCAACAAAAGUUAUCUUACAAUGGUCUUGAUUUGGCUUUUUCACCCUAUGAUGAAUAUUGGAGAGAGAUUAGAAAAAUUUGUGUCAUUCAUCUCUUAAACUCUAAUAAGGUACAAAAUUUUCGACCCAUUAGAGAAGAUGAAGUUUCAAGAAUGAUUGAAAAGAUUUCAAAAUCAGUUGCUGCUUCUAAGCUCGUAAACUUAAGUGAGGUAAUGAUGUCUCUUACUAGCACUAUUAUUUGUAGAAUUGGUUUUGGCAAGAGGUACGAUGAAGAUGAAGCAACAAGUGCAAGAAGUAGAUUCCAAGCCUUGCUUAAUGAAACUCAAGCCUUGUUUGUAAGCUUUUUUGUUACAGAUUAUUUUCCUUUCAUGGGCUGGAUUGAUAAGUUCACAGGAAAGAUGCAACGUCUGCAAAAUAACUUCCAAGAACUUGAUAGAUUCUACCAGGAACUCAUCGACGAGCAUUUGGAUCCAAACAGAACAAAAUCAAAAUUGCCGCAACAGGAGGAUAUAAUUGAUGUUUUACUUCAAAUAAGAAAAGAUCGUGGAUUUAAAGUUGACCUGACUUUGGAUAACAUCAAAGCAGUGCUCAUGGUGGAUAAUUUUAUAAAUAGUUAUAUGUAGACUCGUGCUUAGGCGCAGACUCAAAAUUUUGUGCAGAUGCCCAAUUUUACAGUGUUGUAAAACGUUUUAUAAUGCUGUAAAGUGCUCUUUGACGUCUCCGCCUGAGCAUGAUUAAUUUAAUAUAAUUUUAUUCGCUUUAACUAAUUUAAUAUGUAUAUUGUUUGCUUUGCAGAACGUAUUCGUUGCUGGAACAGACACAAGUGCAGCAACUGUGGUUUGGGCCAUGACCUACCUAACGAAGAAUCCUAGAGCAAUGAAAAAAGUUCAACUGGAAAUUAGAUCGUUGAUUGGGGGCAACAAAGGCUUUGUAAAUGAAGAUGAUGUUCAAGAACUACAUUAUCUUAAAGCCGUAGUGAAGGAGACAAUGAGAUUGCAACCUACAGUGCCGUUACUACUUCCAAGAGAAGCAAUUCAAAAGUGCAUAGUAGAAGGGUAUGAAAUACCAGCUAAAACACGUGUUUUUGUAAAUGCAUGGGCGAUAGGGAGAGAUCCUGAAGCUUGGCAGAAUCCUGAGGAAUUUUAUCCGGAGAGAUUUGUUGAUAGUUGUAUUGACUUUAAAGGGCAAAACUUUGAGUUAAUACCGUUUGGUGCUGGCAGAAGAAUUUGUCCUGGGUUGAAUAUGGGAAUUGUAACUGUGGAGCUUGCACUUGCUAAUCUUCUUUACAAAUUUGAUUGGGAAAUGCCGCCUGGAUUGAAGAGCCAUGACUUUGAUGUUCUGCCCGGACUUGCCAUGCAUAAGAAGAACGUUCUUUCUCUUCGGGCUAAGUAUCAUGUUGAGUAGGUAAAUUAAGGCACCUCCAUCAAUAAGAAGGUAAAUUAAGGCACCUCCAUUAAUAAGGGUUUGAUCUAGCUAAAGGAAAUAUAUGUUAUGCGUCCUCAAUUGUGCUUCUCAAUGUUUUCUUUCUUUCUUCUUAUGUAUAAUGGAUGUUUACGCGAAUGGUUUUUAGUAAGUAAUUUUCUUUUAGUUCAAAAUUUUGGGAGGUAAGGGCUAGAAGAUAAUAGGGACUCUGCCCACUCUCUUAUACCUUUAAAAAAAUGAUAUGAAUGUGAGUAUCAAUUUAUCACAUUUAUUUUGUCUUACAUUUUUCUCUCUCCAAUUUCAAAUUAUAAAUGUAUAUAUAAAUACACGAAACGACCAAUCAAUAUUAUUUACUUGAUAUAACUAAUAAGUAAAUUCAUGGCUUUUUCUAUCACCCCUUUUUUUGUUAGGAGUAUCAGUAAAAUCAGCUCUGUAAUGCUCUACAUCUUUACCGUGAAAGCUGCAUUUUUAUGGAAUCAGCUUACAGUUAUGUACUAACCAAAAAAAAAGAAAAAGAAUAUUACAUCAAUUCUUCAUUGAGAUUUGAGACAUUUUCUUCCUCCAGAAAGUAUACAAGUUAAAAAAACUACACAUCAUUGUGAUUUCAUAACAGCAUCAUCCAUCACUUUCCUAUGAGCUUUUUAUGAGGCCGGAGGCUAAAGCACAAUCAGUUGAGCUUUUAUUGCAUUUCCCACAGCAAGACUGUGGCAAAUCAGUUGACUUUUGACGUUAAAUGGUGGUUUCGGCUUGCAGUCACUUGUGUUUGUUCAAUUUCAAUAAAGGAAAUUUCAUUUUUGUUAAAAUCCAUGAAUAUUAAUUACUACCUUGUUCGCUGUUCAGUAAAACUAAAACAACACCAAAACUUAAAUAUUUUCGCUAUAUCACAAACUUAAAUAUUUUUUUUUUUUCCCCCUAUACAUCCCUAGUAAGGUUGACAGAAAAAAACCAAAUUUCAAUCGGUAUUGGGAUCCCCUCCCGAAUGAUAGGGGAUUUGGCACUAAUUUUUAAAAUCGAUUCGAUACUAAUUUUAACAAACACUUGCUUUAAACCAACUUAUUCUUCUACCACAUAAUUUACUUAACUUUCAUUACAUGAAAAAUAGUCAUUUUUUUUACCUAACUUGUUCGACAAUAGUUAAAUAUGUUGGUGAGAGGGCAGUUUUCAAUUGUAAAAAUCAAGACAUCGAGAAAAACUAAAAUGGCUAUUUGGUUUUUCUAAUGAAAAACUAAAACAACUAUAUGGUUUAGCGUGAAAUUUUAGCUUCAUUGGUAUUUAUGACGAUUGUAACUAACCAUUAAAAAUGCAUAAUUAUUUUCUACCUGUAGUGAUUUAGGUGCUGUAGAAUUCGAUUAGCAAUCUAAGCACUGCCCAAGAUCACAAACCAGAUCCACUAGAUGCUAAGAACCCAAACAAUCAAGCUUUAAGUUUCAACAAAACCUUUAACGAAAAUGGCUUAAUCAGAACACACUCAGAACAAGAAUUAGAAACCAAUCACACCCAAAAGAAAGAGAAAUAUUUACGUGGUUCGAUUGUGCAAAGAAGCACAAUCUGCAUCCACGGGAGAAGCCCACCCACAGAGCAAGCUUUAUUGAUGAUUCAAGUAAUCUUUACAGAGCAAUACAAGAGCUAACUACUAGGAUCAAGAAGAAGAUUUCUCUCUAUCUUAACUCUCUCUAUCACGCUCUCAGAUCAUCCAUGAAACUGCUUCUUUAACCAGCUUAUAUAGCAGCUGAUAAAGAACCCAGAAGCUGCAGAUUUCCGCCACCUGGACUAACAGCUUCUAACUGAUUUGAUUCUCCACCCCCCGUGCACUUCACAUGUUUCACUUAAGCCUUUUGCCGAAACGUCUCCAGCUCCUGCCGUUUUGAACUGAAGUGAAUCACAUGCCAUGCUCGUGACUCCUGAGUAUAUUAAACAUAUUCCAAACGCUGUCGUUUAACAUGCUCAAGUUUUGGAUUCAGCAUUUUAGUCCACACUACCGUUUCAAAAACAUAGUCGAAAAUAAAAUAAUAUUUUCAAUUAUUGUAAUUUUUAAUCAAAAAUAGAAAAAUAUUCUUAAAUGUAACUAGGAGUUGGUUGAAAAAACCAUUAAAAAGAUAUAAAAUUUUAACAGACAACAUGGGCACCAAUAAUGCUUUUCACUACUAUAACUUGCAAGGUUGGUCAAAGCAAAAGCUGUAAGGGUAAGUAAAUAUAAUAUAAAAUUAUAUAUCAUCUAAAAGAAAAGUAAUUGUAAGUUUUUUUUCUUAGUUUACUAUUUUUUUUUAUCAAACAUGAACUAGAUAAUUAAAUAAAUAAUUAAUUAAUUAAUGUACUUUUUUUUAUAGAAUUAAUUAAUGUACUUAAUUGAAAAUAAAAUUAACUUCUACGAUGCAAAUAGAAUUUGAGCCCUUAACUGAAAAGAUAAAAUAUGAAAGUGCCUACCACUUGAGCAAGAAAUAAUUUUCAGUAAAUUAUAAAUUAAAUAAUUAUGAAAGGAUUGAUUUUUUCUAAAGGUUUUACUAGGUGCAAUGAUUAGUAUUAAAAAUUGUUUAAUUAUCAAGCGAUAAUAUGUUAUUUUAUGCUUAUGUUAUAAUUUAUAUUUGUGUUUAUGUAAUAUAUUAUGAAUUAUUAAUUAUGUUUUAAAUAUAUUUAAUUUUGUGUAUUUUUAUGUGUUUAUUAGGAAAAUUAUUAAUUUCACGUACUUCGAGGCUCCAAACAGAUAAACGGAGGUCAAAUUUGGAUUCCGGAGGUCCGAAAACCUUAAGAUCCGUGAAGAUCGGCUUAAAAUUGGGCUUGUGUAAAAAAAGUUGACUUUUCCUGUUGACCGAGCACUGAUUGGAUGAUGAAAUGAGCUUACAAUAGAUAUGAGUGCAUGGGAUAACUGGCAAUCUUGACUAAAUCUCAACCGUUCAUGAUUCAAUGGCCAUGAUUGUGCCACGUGGCAAUGGUUGGUGAAGCAAGUUGGAGGAUCCGAAUCUUUGUAUUCGGGUCGACCCGAUCCACCCAUUAACCCGCCAAAUCUCAACCGUUCUUUGGGCAAAUCGGACGAGUCAAAUGAUGCCAUGUGUGAUGUUGACUUUUGAAGUUUGACCAGCCAUUGGAUCUUGAUCUAAGGGUUGUGAGGAGCACAUGCAUGAAGCCUAUGAUGGACCGCAAAGCACUGGAUUAUGAAUUUAUUUUUCUAUAAAUAGGGCCUCAUUUUUAUGUUUUAAUCAUCUCUCUACAACUCUCUUCUUCUCAAAUUCUCUCAAUCUCCUUGUAAUCUUGAUUUCCAGGUGUGUUUUUAAUAUUUUGUAUAAUUAUUUUCAUUAAUAAAAUUAGUUUUAUUUCCAAUUUUAGUUGUUUUUAUUUCUUUUAAUUAUAAGUAAUUCAAUUUUACUACUUCUUUUUAUUUUAAUUAUGCUUAACUAAAUAAUAUUAGUUAGGGGAAGGUGAAACUCUUAAGAAAUAAAUAUGAUUUAAUCAAAUUCUAUGUUUAAUUUUAUAAAUUAAAUUAUUUUCUAUUUAAUUUUAUACAUGUUUUAUAUUUUGAAAUUUUGAUUUAUUGUAGACAAACAAAUGAAUUUGGCACAAUAAAUUCUUAAGAUCUUAAUAUAAGGCAUGGUGAAAUGGUAUUUUGACUUAUUGUAGACAAAUUAAAUUUUGGCACAAUAAAUACUUAAUCCAUCAUAAAAUUAAAGGGAAAAUAAUAAUAAUUUGUAUAAUUAAUCUUUUGAGUAAUAAAUCUAAAAAAAAUUGGCAAAAAGAAUUUAUUAAGUUUUAUUUAUUUCUAAGAGUGGAUCCAUAACCCUAACUAGUUCAAUUCCAUAGUUUCAUUUAAAUUAAGUUGUUUAUAUUCAAGUUUUAAUUUCAAUUUUUAUAAAAUAAAAUAAACUAAUUAAAUAUUUUCUCUGUGGAUCGACCUCGGACUCACCGAGUUAUAAUACAACAAGACACUCUUAUACUUGGGAGUUAAAAUUUACUUUUAAGUUGUGUCAUGCAACAAUGGAAUUGAAUUACCUUAUUUAACUUAGAAGCUAUUGAUUGAUUACAGCAUAGAUAUAAUGUAUGAUAUCUUAAAAUUAAACAUCAAUUAACUUCGAAAUUAUAUUGUAGUUCAAAUAAACUCUAUAAUAUUUAUGAUCACAUUCUAUCUUAUACACAAACUUGAAACUUAUGUUAUUGGUUAAGUCUCAACUAUUUUAAUCAUUAUCAUUGAAUCAAUUUAGAAAUUGAUUAUCGAACUAGCUGGUAUUUUAUAGUUAAAUAUUUAAAGAAAUAAUGUCUAUGAUUGAUCAUAAUUAUUGUUGAAUCAAUUUGGAGACUAGCUAAUUUUCAAAUUAAUGUAAUUAUCUAGUGGUCAAUUUUAAUAAAUAGAGUCUAAUAGUUUUCAUAAUUGUAUUAUACUCAUAAUUGUGGAGCAUGGAACGUAUACUUCAUACUUAAAACUUAUUGCAUAUAUUAAAAAAAAUAGAUGAUUAGUAAUUAACAUUUAAUUAUAGUUGAAAUAUUAAUUAUUAAAUUAGUCUAAUUGUCUAAGAACAGUCAUACAAUUAAUUUCAAUAGAUAACAAGAACUAUUGCAAUAAUUUAUUUAUAUUUUAAAACAUAUCUCAACUAUGAAUUAUUAAAACUAAUAUAGCUUCAUAGUUUUUAGGCCAAUAUCUAUUUUCAUCUUUUGUUUAUCUUAUUAAUUUAAAUUUAAAAUCUAUGUUAAAGAUGUUCUAUCAAUCAAUUUAGGCUAUAGAUUAAUUAAACAAUCUAGUAAUCACAUAAUAGGUAUUACAUAUAAUUGUUCAAUUAUAAUAAACUUUAAAUUUGCAUUAAUGAGAUAAGAAGUUUUGUUUUGCAAUUAAUCGAAUCGUAUGCUAAUAAUUUUCAAUAUUUAUUAUUAUUUCAAUAUUUAUUAGUAUGAAAUAGCUAACUUAGGAUAAAUAAAUUGAUUGAUUGAUUUUUUUCUUAAAUUUUAAUAUCUUGUAUUAUCUCUAUUAACUAUUUGGUCCACUUAAUUACUAUAAUGCCACCUAACUAAAGUUUUUAGUGCAAGUGUAUGUGUACCUAUUCUCCACUCUCUCUAACAAAUAUCUCAAUUAGCCACCGAAUCAAAUCUAAUAAUAGAAUAAAUAAAUAAAAGCCACCGAUAUUAAGCGCAACAGAUGAAUUCAUGUCCUCUUCUUUUGUAUAUUCUCUCCAAAGCUUUCAACUCUAUUUUGGGGUCAUUUUCUUAAUUUUUUUUAAUUAAACUAUAUAGAAACUGGGGAGAUGUUUUCAGAUAUUUAUUAAUUUUUAUCCUUCACCUUUAAUUUCUUAAGUUUGACAUCAGUUAUUAAGCGCAACGGAUGAAUUCAUCUCCUCUUCUUUUGUAUAUUCUCUCCAAAGCUUUCAACUCUAUUUUGGGGUCUUUUUCUUAAUUUUUUAAAAUUAAACUAUAUAGAAACUGGGGAGAUGUUUUCAGAUAUUUAUUAAUUUUUAUCCUUCACCUUUAAUUUCUUAAGUUUGACAUCAGUUAUUGUUGGCCUCACUCUCACAUGGUUGGUUUGAAGCUUUUCUAUCAUGUAGUUCGGUGAAAAUUAUUUUAUUAAUCGUGACUUGCAGGUAAGAAUUAUUAUUAUUAUUUUGUGUUAUGUUUUUAAUUUAUUAGAUUUUAAUUCACAAUUUAUUUGAUAACAAGUGAAAGAGAUGUUAAUUAGGAUAGAUUCAUUUUCUUGUUUAGUAUAUAGGAUUUUCUACUUUAAUUUAAUUGUAUCUUAAUUUUUUUUUUUAUUGUUAUCAAGGGAAUUAAGAGCCUAGGAAGAAAAAUUAUGAUAUUCAACUUUCUUAAGGAUUCAGUUGCUCAAUCCACAUUGAUUCUAUCUUUUAUCAACAGCAAAAUAUCAUUGCAAGAGUGCCAUGUAGCCUUUGGUGUAUUUUAUUUAAUUUAAAUAUUUGUCAUGGAUUCAAUGAUUAAUACGUAUUUAUUUUAUCUUUUAGUAACAUUAAGUUAUUGUAAUAGCAUCAUGUAGCUUUAAGUCAUUGUAAUGGUGUCGUGUAGCACUUGUACUUUGUUUGAGUUGCACAUGUAUUUGUUGAAAUUAUUUAGCACUUUGCCAUUUCAUUGGCCUUUUGCCAUUUCUCAUAAAGCCUCCUCUGAUUUCUAUGAGCAUCAUCCGUUGGAACUGGAGGGCAUGGCUGGGUUAAGACAUAUUUAUAAUUUUCAGCAGUCAGGACAAUGAAUAGAUUUCUUUUCCAAUUUAUAUAGUUCUCUCCAGUGAGUUUGUUUUGACUCAGAAUAAUAGUAAGUGGGCUCAUGGAAGACAUUUUCUGAAAAAUAAAACAUCCAUGCAUAAAUAAUUUGAAAUAAUAUUCACAAUAAAUGAAAAAAAUGCAAAAAACCAUAAAUGCAUUUUAAUUUAUUGUAACGAUAAUCUAGUACCGCUUUGACAAGCUAUCCGUUGGGGAAGUCAUGUCUACACUUACUAGACCCAAUUAUCCAUUGGAUUAUUUACUUUCAUGUAAAGACAUGAUAAAUAAAUGUCGUUAUCCUUUUGGACCUAAAUUUGUUAACAGAGCUUCGUUGGGAAGGUUAAUAACAAAUUUUAGUUGAGUGUAUAACCAUUGUUUCAAUCUAGAUAUUUUUCAUAUCAUUAGUCACCGUUGGGGUGAACAAUCGAUUAAAAAAUAUUUCAAUUUUAUCUUUGAAGAAGUUCAUUAAAUAAAAUAUCUAAUAUAUAUACCCUCCGAAGGGAGCAUCACCGUAUCAUGAAGUCGAGGUAUAUAUAUAAUUUUAUUAUUGAACUAACAAUGGAGCCCGUGGGAAAAAUUAUCUUGAAUUUUCCCUCUCCCGCUCAAUAUUUUAAAAUUGGUUUUUCCUUUUUAAAACAUACAUAUUGUUAAUUGCAUGCUUACUAUAAUAUUUUCUAGAUGAUAUCAAAUAUUAUUAAGCACGUGCAAAUUUCAAACAAUAUAAUGAGAUUCAUUAUUAAUGAAUUACAUGUAUCAUUAUGCAUAGAGUGGCACUACCUAUCUAUAUGACAUGUUAUCAUGGCAUGUAAUCAUCCAAAACAUAACAUAUAGAAAAACAAUUAAAUAAUCUUAAUUCAUGGCUUUCCUAAUAAUGAAAAAUACAUUAACCCUAAGCCUAAUCUUCAUUGAGCUUCUUGUCAAUGUCCAUCUUCCAUAAAUUUGUCUUUGUUAAUGGACUAGGGAAAAUUGGGCUUUAAAAUUUAUAAUUGGUCCAAUUUUAAUUUUUAAAAGAAAUAAAUAAAUAAUUAAAAAAAAUUAUUAAAAUAAAACUUUUGGAGCAAAAAUAAAUUUAAUGUGUUCAAUUUUAUCUAUGUAUUUUAAUCCAUUAAGCCCAAUUGAAAUUGGGCCUAAAACUAGGAUUUACUUAAACCCAAAACUGUUUUUGGAUUUAAACGCAAAAAUUAAAAAUAUUUCUGCCCAAAAAGAAAAACUAUGGAGCCAUAGGGACCUCAAUGAUAGAAACCAUUGAAACCCUAAAUCCAUCUUUUCCUCUUUCCUUUCUUCCCCAGCCGCCACCAGCAGACUGUUCAGAGACGCCGACCAUCUCCGACGCCGAAACACUCGCCGCCACGUCGCCGGAAACGCACCAAACUCGCGCGGGCAGCAAGCUGCGCGUGCAGCGCGCGCUGCUGGCCAUUGCUCGCCGCAAGCGCUGCUUUGCAGCGCGCAGCACAGCUGAUGGCUGGCAGCGUGCGCUGCUGGCAGCGUGUGCUGCGAGCCGCGCGCUUGCUGGCAGCAUGUGCUGCUGGCCGAGCGCUGCUUGCUGCUGGUUGCCGCUGUCAAAAAUUCCGGCCUCCGUCACUCCGAUCUUGAAAAUCCGAGAUUAAUUUACAAAUAUCCUAGGCCAAUAUUGGCUUACAAAAAUUCUAUAAUAGUAAAAUAAAUCAAGAGAGAAAUAUAGUGAUAAAAAAUUACCCCUCUUGUUACAGAUCCAAGCGAAAAAUACAACAGAAAAUCUAACAAUAAAUUAAGACAAACCAUAACAUGAUUUAUUCAUAUAUUAAUAAAUAAUAUAUAUCUGAAUAAAAUGUGUCACUUUAAUACAUAAAUUUCAAGAUUAAUUUCAUACGAAAUUCUUAUAUAUUAAUAUGAGAUGGCUCUGAUACCAAUUGUUGGGGAAAAAUCAGGUUUUUAAAUUUUUUAUAAAACCUUUUGAAGAUCGCUAUCAUAUAAUAUAUAAGAAUUUGUAUUCUAGAAAUCGUACCUUGAAAAUCUGAUUUGGCUUUUUCCGUUGAAGUGAUUUAGGCUCCUAGAUCACGAUCCGCCACCACCACUCCUGUUAGAUCACGAUCCUGCACCACCACGCUUGUUAGAUCACGAACUGUCACCAAUGAUCUUCCAGGUUAUGACUUAGGUUCGAUCUGCACUUAACGUGUGGGCGCCUUUAUCACUACCAAAGCAACUAGCACGAGAAAAUUUUUCUCUCAACAAUAGAGAGAAAAAUCUUUUUCUCUGAUUUGUAUAAAGUGGCUUCUGUCUUUUUCUUUAGAGAAAAUAAGCCUUAUAUAUCUCCCUUUAGUGAAAACCCUAGGCUCCAAAUAAUGCCCUAAAUAAAACUCACGUUACUUUUCAUUUAAUAGGGGACCCACUAUGUAAAAUAACAUAAGGCCCCUUACACAUAAGCUAAUUAAAUGGAGCCUCCCACUAAAUGAUAUAUUUAGGCUUUUGACCCAAAUAGCUAGUUAUCUUGCUUAUUAGUCCAGUAGUGGUGCAGUCAAUUAAAUGAGCUAACCCGGGGAUCAUUUGGGAACAUACAAUAGUGGCUACAAUAAUUAGACAUGUAAUUAAACUAGCCCAAUUAUUUAAUUCCAAAUCUACUCCACUAAAAGAUUGGAACUGACUUCCAUAAUUGUAUGCUCGAAUAAUAAUUCGUCUCAAGCCACAUUGAUUUCUUUACUGCACAAUCCUUUGUACCACAUCGUUAAUUAAAUUGAUAUCUCAACUGUCCAAUCAAUUUAAUAACAUCUUAUUCCUUGAUCCUUACUGGUUUUCUCUAAUGAUCAUUUUCAACAUACUAAAUAUGUUGACACACUCUGGCCAGAGAAUUCUAUGAUCAAGUGCCGAAAACCCAUCAAGAGAUGUGUUGUACAAAUUCUAUAUUGUUAAUCUAUAACUCCAAUACUCAUAAAUGCUCCCACUAAGAUACCGGGUAAUCUUGACCACAAGUAUGUGUCAUGCCCAUUGGUAACUCAAAUGGAAUAACAAUUACAAUCAUGAAAUCAUAAUUAACUCAAGAUUAAGAUUACAGUAAAAUCAAUGCCUAUGAGAUUUAAUAAGUCUGACAGUUAUUACAAAGUUAAUUAAAUCUCAUAUUUGAUCCUGUUCAAUGUAGUCGUACUACAUCAAUAAAUUCAUACAUGAUUAAGACAAAUCAUUCAAUGAAUUUAUUACAGUCUAUACCUAAAUAAAGUGCCCAACUUUAUUUAUCAACUGCGAACUAAAUUUAUUUAAUCAUAAGAUAACUUGUAUUUAUGUCUUCUGUGAAUCCACAUGGUGAUCACAUAAAUACAUAUAAUAUGAUUAAAUGGACUUUAAUAUAAAUAUUAAUGCAAUUAAGAUAUUUGAAUAAAAUACCUCAUUUAUUUUAUUAAUCAGAAAAAUUGUUUAUUACAAUUAAAUAAACACAUAUACUUUUAAAGAGUAUAUUUUCCCAACAAUGCAAAUCCACCAGGUGUUGAGUUUCUACCAUCAUUCACUCUUGAGCUUGAUGUUGUUUCCAAGUUCUUGCAACGCUUCUGCUUGGCACAGAGAAGUAAAUUUUGUAAGUAAGUACACUCAAUCAAAUACUUCAUACUUAACAUCGAUUGCAUAUAUUAAAAAAAAAUUAGAUGAUUAGUAAUUAACAUUUAAUUAUAGUUGAAAUAUUGUUUAUUAAAUUAGUCUAAUUGUCUAAGAACGGUCAUACAAUUAAUUUCAACAUAUAAAAAAACUAUUGCAAUAAUUUAUUUAUAUUUUGAAACAUAGCUCAACUAUGAAUUAUUAAAACUAAUAUAGCUUCACAGUUUUUGCAUCAAUAUCUCUUUUCAUCUUUCGCUUAUCUUACCAAUUUAAAUUUAAAAUCUAUGUUAAAGAUGUUCUGUCAAUCAAUUUAGGCUAGAGAUUAAUUAAACAAUCUAGUAAGCACAUAAUAGGUAUUAUUAUUAAUUGUUCAAUUAUAAUAAACUUUCAAAUUGCAUUAAUGUGAUAAGAAGUUAUGUUUUGCAAUUAAUCGAAUCAUAUGCUAAUAAUUUGCAAUAUUUAUCAGUAUGAAAUAACUAACUUAGAAUAAAUUAAUUAAUUGAUUGCUUUUUUCUUAAAUUUGAAUAUCUUGUAUUAUCUCUAGUAACUGUUUGGUCCACUUAAUUACUAUAAUCCCACCUAACUAAAGUUUUUUGUGCAAAUGUAUAUUUACCGUAACCCACGUUCUCCAUUCUCUCUAACAAAUCUCUCAAUUAGCCACCGAAUCAUAUCCAUUAACAGAAUAAAAAUAAAAGCCACCGAUAUUAAGCACAAUGGAUGAAUUCAUCUCUACUUCUUUUGUAUAUUCUCUCUAAAGCUUCAAACUCUAUUUUAGGGUUAUUUUCUUAAUUCUUUUGAAUAAAGCUAUAUAGAAUCUGGGGAGAUUUUUUCAAAUAUUUAUUACCUUUUGUCCUUCACCUUUAAUUUCUUAAGUUUGACAUCAGUUUUGUUGGCCUCACCCUUGGCUGAAAGCUUUUUCCGUCAUGUAGAUCGGUGAAAAUGAUUUGAUUAAUUGUGGCUCGGAGGUAAGAAUAAUUGAUGGUUGUCGAAGCCAGCAAAAAUAAAUACCUACUCUAAAUAAAUUGUGUAUAGUGAUUGAGCAGGGUCGUGUCCACAGAGAUCGGUAAUAGUUAAAUCUUUUUUAAAAUGUAAAUUGCAAAAUGGGGGGAUUGUUGACAAUAACAAAAAUCAAAUUAAAAUAACAAGAAUGCAAAUUAAAAUUAGGAAAAGCUUUGGUUGAAGGAAUUUACUCAGCUUGAAUAGAUCAUUACUACUUAUGAAUAGACCGGUUAUAACUACUGAGACCCUUUAAUAGCCAAUCUCUCCUUAACUAGUCGAUAACCAAGGUACAACUAUUGGUUAUUUCCCUAAUCAAUAGAUAACCCUAGAUACGAUCAUAGGAUUUAAUCAAUUGACAGCCUGAAAAAUCAAAGAGACGCAAAUCCUAAUCAACAAACGCAUACGAUGGUUCAUUUAAAUUAGAUUGUUUAUUCUCAUAACACAACGCACUGCUAUGCUAUUUGUCACAAACAUUAAAAUCUUACGAUGAAUCCUUUAAUUGACAAUAGAUUAAGUUGAUAAUUAAAUAGUGGCCAAUUAUCUAAUUAACAAACAUAAUCAUGACAAUAAUUUAGAGAAUAAACAAAUACCCAAAAAGCAAUAAAACAAUUAAAGCAUAAGAAAGAUCUCACAGUAAUGAUGAAUCAAAACUUCAUUAAUCUUCAACCAGAAUAAUAGGUUUAGUUCUUCACAGAGAGAAGAGAAAAAUUUAGAUCUAUGGUUUUCUUUUUUACAAUAGAUUCCCCCCUUCAAUUCUCUCUCCCCUCUUCUCUUCUAGAGUUCUUUUUAAAUAAAUUACUAAUAUCUAAAAUAUUAUCUAAAUAUUAAAUUCGGAAUUACAAAAAUAACAAAAAAGACAAAACACGUUAAACUAAUAACUGCAGAUCCGUAGUUGACAAUACGCGUCCACGCCUUAUCAACAAAGUUCUUCUGAAGCUCAUAAUUUCUCCAGGAAAAACAAUCAUCCUAAAAAAUCAUCUUGUAGCUCAAUUUUAGCACCAAUCAAUAUAAUUGCACCUACAAAAAUAAAACACAAGUAAAUCACUAUUAUUAAGUGCAAAACAUCGAUAUUAAAGAAAGUAAACAAUGCAAAACUAGAGCAUAAAUUGCACUCUAACAAUAAUUAUUUUUUUUUGUGUUCAUGUUUUUAAUUUAUUGGAUUUAGUUCACAAUUUAUUUUAUAACAACUGAAAUAGAUGUUAAUUAGGAUAGAUUCAUUUUCUUGUUUAGUAUAUAGAAUUUUCUACUUUAAUUUAAUUGUAUCUUAAUUUUUUUUUAUAUAUAUUGUUAUGCAGUGAAUCAAGAGACCUAGGAAGAAAAAAUUAUGGUAUUCAACUUUCAUAAGGAUUCAAUUGCUCAGUCCACAUUAAUUCUAUCUUUUGUCAACACCAAAAUAUCAUUGGAAAGAGUGCCGCGUAGCUUUUGGUGUAUUAUCUUUUAUUUAAGUAUUUGUCAAGGAUUCAAUGACUAAUACAUAUUUAUUUUAUCUUUUAGCAACAUUAAGUCAUUGUAGUAGCAUCAUGCGGCUUUAAAGUUGAGAAAUUAAGAAAAAUCAUUGAAAAUAUAGAAAAAUCGGGUAAAAAAUGAAGUACAGAACAAGUUAGACAAGCAGUGGGACAGGUGCCUGUCUCACAUAAACCCACUGAUUUUAUGGAGUAUAUGAUUUUAGAUUUGAUUUGUCUUGUCGUAAGCUUCGAAAUGGUAUAAUUAUUGUAAUAUUUUGGCUUACUACUCAGAACCCUAAUACAUGCAAUCUCUCAAAUUACUAGAACAAGAGCUUUUAUUAUUUAAGCUCUACAAAACUCUCUGCUUUGCAGGAAAUGCUUCUCACAAAAUUGGAUGCAGAAAUGAGGAGGAGGAACCUCUUUUUAUACCAAAACUUGGCUAUUGUUCAUGCUUUAUUUAAUUUUUUUUUCUUCUUCUUUUUCGGUCCAGCAUCCAUUUUUUCUUCCUCUUUCUUCUUUCUCUUCUUCCUCUUUUGUCUUCUUUCUUCUUUUCUUUUGUUCCGGUCAAAGAAGCAACCAAUGCAUUCUUCUUCAAAAUGAGUGGGCCCACCUUCUAGAAGGGUGGUGCCCACAUGCCAUUUUCAUCAUUAAAUAGAUGAGGGUUGGAAUAUAAUCUUUUCAAUGUGAAUCAUGAAGGAUCUAUUCAAAAUAAAAGUGAUAAAGAUUAAGGCUCCGUUUGGUAUAACUUAUUAAAUAGAGCUUAUAACAGUAGAGCUUAUACCAAUAGUGCUUUUGGACAAAAAAUCAUUGGGUGUUUGGUUGUCAAUAAAAAAAUACUUUUGAACCAUUAAACUGUGUGAUAUUUUUUAUAUUAUAUAUUUUUUAGAAAAGCUCUCUAACCUCUACUUUCAAAAGCUCAAACUUGAGUGAAGGUAGUCUUCUCCCUUACCCAUGAGUGAGGAGUAGACAUCCCUCGAAUAUUUGUGAAGGUUAAAAUCUGGGCAGAGCUCCAUUAGCAUUGAUGUAAGUUGGUUCCAGUAAUUGUCUGAUUUGUAAAUAUCAGUUAUAGUCUCAUGUAAUAUGAGUUGUAAUCUGAGCAAUAGUCUCAUGUAAUCAAAAAAAAAAAAAAAGCUCAAAUUUUGGGCUUUUGCUAGUAGAGGUAAAUUAGCUUAUUUAAGCUAAAAAAAACUCUAUUAAAAAAAUAACCAAACACCAUAAAAAAUUUUAAAAAGUGCUUAUGCGAUUAAAUAAGCACUUAUGGCUCUUAAAUAAGCCAUACCAAACAGGCACUAAGAAAGAACUUAAGAAGCUAAGAGCUUUUAGAAGUCUUUGAAGAAAUAAUAUCAAUUUGAAAGGAAAAGAAUUUAAAAUGAAGAAGAAAAAGAUAAUUGAUAAGAAGUAAGACUAACUGUACAUCUGAUUGAGGAACAGGCUUGUUAAUUCAAACUAUUAUAACCAAUUGGGAAUUGAAUUAAGUUAACAGUUAACUCGUAAUUGAAUGUCUAAACUAACAAUGUAUACAAUUACAGCUGAGACUAUAAAAUUGCAAAAAUACUGCUGAUUGUGAAUCAAUUUGAACAUGCCAAUCCUUAGGAAUUCCUUUCAGUAUCAUGGGAUUUAGAUCUCAAUUACCUUUUUUAUUUGAGUACGAUGACAUCCCGAACUAUAAAAAAUACCCACUUGUCCAAACGUGCCUAUGUCCACUUUAUCAUUUAUAUAUGAAAUGUUCUAAUUAAAUGGAGCAAGUCCACAUAACAAUCAUUUUCAAUUACCCAGCAUUUGGAAUACAGAUGCUUUGUUUCUUCGUUUUUUUAAUUUUUUGUUCUUUUUUAUUUACUUGAUACAACUAAUAAGUAAACUCAUAGCAUUUUCUAUCACCUCUUUUUUAGUUGGGAGUAUUAGUAAAUCAACUCUGUAAUGCUCUGCCUCUUUACCAUAAAAGCUGCAUUUUAAUGGCAUCAGCUUACAAUUAUGUGUACUAAGUAAAACAAUUCUUUAUUGUGACAUCUUCAUCCUCCAGAAAAUACAUAAAUAAAAAACCACACCAUCGUUGUUGUGAUUUCAUAACAGCAUCAUCCAUCACUUUCCUACAAGCUUUAGAAGGCCGGAGGCUGAAGCACAAUCAAUUGAGUUGUUAUUGCAUUUCUCACAGCAAGAGUGCGGCGAUUCAAUUGACUUUUUGGCACUUUUGAUGGACGGAGUUAAAUGGUGGGUUUCGGCUUGCGGUUACUUGUGUUUGUUCAAUUUUGAUAAAGGAAAUUUUAUUUUUGUUAAAAUCCAUGAAUAUUAAUUACUACCUUGUUCACUGUUCAGUAAAAAUAAAACAACAGUUUUUUUUUUAAUUUAACAAUAUUGUGUUAGAAUAUACUUCCCAGGUAAGGUUGAUAGAAAAAACCAAAUUUCAAUCAGUAUUGGGAUUCUGUCCCAAAACAAGCACUUACUGAUUACAACUUUUACUAACUUAUUUUUCCACCACACAAUUUACUCAACUUUUAUUUAUACCACACAAUUUAACUUAUUUUAACUAUCACUAACUUAAGUUACUUGGCUAGGGCAAAAUUAUGUUGCAACUGUGGUAUGAUACCACAGUUGCAAUCAGUCAUUAAAUCCACAGUUGUACAAUUGUAUUUGUUGGACCCAAUGAUUAAAAGUAACUGUGGUAUCAUACACAGUUGCAAUAUAAUUGGACCUACUUUGCUAACAUAUUAUAGAAACCAACAUCCCAGAUUUUUCUUAAGAUAUUUCUACAGAUAUUUUAACAUUUUAGAUUAUAAAUUACUUUUCAACACUUAAUUUAAUCACUAAUUGUUGACGAAGACGAAGCCAACAAAUUUGUUUCGUUGUGCUAAUCGGACAAGCGAUAAGGACUUCACAAGAGUACAAAACAGAGCCUCGAUCUAAUAAUAUUACUGAACAUAGCAUUUUUGUUUCCUUAUUAAUGGAUUUGUUUCCUUAUUAAUGGAGAGAGGCAGUUCUGUUUUUGCAGUGAUUAAGCGCAUAGAAGAUAUUAAUGGCUUUACUUAUCAUCAUCAACUUCCUUUUGUGUCUCCCCUUCUUCCUCUUCUUCUUUGCUUUGCAAAGGCUCAUAACCUCAAGAAAUAAUACUAAAUUACCACCCGGCCCCUGGGGCCUUCCCUUAAUCGGUAACUUACACCAGUUUGAUGUCUCAAAGCCUCAAGUGUCAUUUUGGGAGCUGUCACGGAAAUAUGGCCCCCUCAUGUCCUUGCGUCUUGGUUUUGUGCCAUCCCUAGUAGUUUCCUCAGCAAAACUGGCUAAAGAGAUAUUAAAAACCCAUGACCUUCAAUUUUGUAGCAGGCCAGCCUUGGUAGGACAACAAAAGUUAUCUUACAAUGGUCUUGAUUUGGCGUUUUCACCCUAUGAUGAAUAUUGGAGAGAGAUAAGAAAAAUUUGUGUCAUUCAUCUCUUUAACUCUAAUAGGGUACAAAAUUUUCGACCCAUUAGAGAAGAUGAAGUUUCAAGAAUGAUUGAAAAGAUUUCAAAAUCAGUUGCUGCUUCUAAUCCCGUAAACUUAAGUGAGGUAAUGAUGUCUCUUACCAGCACCAUUAUUUGUAGAAUUGGUUUUGGCAAGAGGUACGAUGAAGAUAAAGCAACAAGUGGAAGAAGUAGAUUCCAUGCCAUGCUUAAUGAAACUCAAGCCUUGUUUGUAAGCUUUUUUGUUACAGAUUAUUUUCCUUUCAUGGGCUGGAUUGAUAAGCUCACAGGAAUGAUGCAACGCCUGCAAAAUAACUUCCAAGAAUUCGAUAGAUUCUACCAGGAACUCAUCAACGAGCAUUUGGAUCCAAACAGAACUAAAUCAGAAUUGCCGCAACCGGAGGAUAUAAUUGAUAUUUUACUUCAAAUACGAAAAGAUCGUGGAUUUAAAGUUGACUUGACUUUGGAUCACAUCAAAGCAGUGCUCAUGGUGAAUAAUUUUAUAAAUAGUUAUAUGUAGACUCGUGCUUAGGCGCAGACUCAAAAUUUUGCGCAGAUACCCAAUUUUACAGUCUUGUAAAAUGUUUUAUAAUGCUGUAAAGUGCCCUUUGACGUCCACCUGAGCAUGAUUAAUUUAAUAUAAUUUUAUUUGCUUUUAAGUAAUUUAAUAUGUAUAUAUGUAUGUUGUUUGUUUUGCAGAACGUAUUCGUUGCUGGAACAGACACGAGAGCAGCAACUGUGGUUUGGGCCAUGACUUACCUAAUGAAGAAUCCUAGAGCAAUGAAAAAAGUUCAACAGGAAAUCAGAUCGUUGAUUGGGGGUAACAAAGGCUUUGUAAAUGAAGAUGAUGUUCAAGAACUACAUUAUCUUAAAGCGGUAGUGAAGGAGACAAUGAGAUUGCAACCCACAGUACCAUUACUAAUCCCAAGAGAAACAAUUCAAAAGUGCGUAAUAGAUGGGUAUGAAAUACCAGCUAAAACACUUGUCUUUGUAAAUGCAUGGGCGAUAGGAAGAGACCCUGAAGCUUGGGAGAAUCCGGAGGAAUUUUAUCCGGAGAGAUUCGUUGAUAGCUGUAUUGACUUUAAAGGGCAACACUUUGAAUUAAUACCGUUUGGUGCUGGCAGAAGAAUUUGUCCUGGGUUGAAUAUGGGAAUCGCAACUGUGGAUCUCGCACUUGCUAAUCUUCUUUACAAAUUUGAUUGGGAAAUGCCGCCUGGAAUGAAGAGCCAAGACUUGGACUUUGAUGUUCUGCCGGGAAUUACUAUGCAUAAGAAGAAUGCUCUCUCUCUUUUGGCUAAGUAUCAUGAGUAGGUAAAUUAAGGCACCUCGGACAAUAAGAGUUUGAUCUAAACUAAAUAUAUGUUAUAGAGAUUGCAUGUAUGUCCUCAAUUGUGCUUCUCAUGUUUCCUUUCUUUCUUCUUAUGUAUAAUGAAUGUUGAUGUCUAUGUGCCCAUAGGCUGAGUGGUUUUUAAUAAUUAAAUUUCUUUUAGUUCAAAAUUUUGGGAGGUAAGGACUAGAGAAUAAUGGUUACUCUGCUCACUCUCCUAUACUAAUAAAAAAAAAAGUUGAUAUGAAUGUGAAUAUUAAUCUACUACAUUCAUUUCGUCUCAUAUUUUUUCCCCUAUAUUUUUUGCUUUAGAUUUAACUUCUAUCACUUAAACUGCUAUCUUUUUAUAUGAUUGGAUAGAGAUUGAAAUUUUUGCUGUUCCAUCUCAAUGUUAAUGCUAAUUUUAUCUUCACACCUUUACUGUAAUUUUCUACUUUUACUAUUAGAUGCUGAUAGGGUCUUUUCUUGGAGAUUACUUUACCAAAAAAAGUCUGAAAGAAGAUUUUAUAUCGAUCGGAUAGCAAGCUUGUCCAUAUAGUUUAUGGAUUAUCUGCAAGAGCUCUUUUUAGUGCGCAUACGGUUGUCCCUUCAUGUUAGCAUAUUUAUUCUGUCAUCAAUGAACUUUUGCAUUUAAAUGGUAUCAGUUCAAGUGAUGAAUGAAUUUUACCUAUUGCCUAUCUUGGACUAAAUUUAAUUUCAAAAAAUGAGCUUCCAGCUUAUGACUUAUACGUAUCUUGAACUUUGGUUUUACGAUCACCGUUGGAUGGAAGAGUGGCUUGAGUUUGUUAAUUGCUUCAGUCCCAGGACUAGUGUUUGGAAACAUAAAAUUUAACACUCCCCAAAAUAAUUCAAUAUACAACCAACUCCAAUGAUCAACAUCCUCAACCAAAAUUCUAAGUUUUACUCAAGAUAUCUCCAGAGUCUCAAAAGAUAAUAUUAUAACUAAUAUUAAUAUACCUCAGUUUAUUCUUAAUCCCAAAAGAAUAAUAUAACAAAAUUAUACAAUCUAAAAAGAACAAGAUAACUAUGAUAUCCUAAUAAAAAAAAUCAUCUAUAUCUUCUAACACCAUCACGUGGCCAAGAUUCAAAAUAUAUUUACAGUCGCUGGGUCGGUUUGGUGUACCUGCAACCUCCUGGUGGGAGGAGGGAAUAGAAUAAAAGCGGGAUGAGUAUAAAACUCAGUGAGAUCAGUGAGUGGAUAGUAGUUUUCGAAAAAUUAAUUCUUACUUUAAAAGAAAUAAUUAUAUCAUUUCCAAACACGAUUUCAUCAAACCAUAUGCGAGAAACCAAUAAUAAAUCAUUUAACAUUUAAAUCAGAUUACUAAUCAUGAAAAUCAUAUAUAAUAUCAUGCCUAAUAACUAUGGAAAUCAUAUCACAAUAUCAUAUAAAAUACACAAAUCUGAAAAUCAUCACCAAACAAGUACCCAAGGGAAAAAUCUCGUCGUAUCCGGACCUCAACGGACGGGCAAUGACGUACUAUCUAGGUACUACCAUGCCCCAGAGCUACAUGGAUAGACAUGAAAAUACCAUCUCAUAUCUCAUCAUAUCUCAUUAUAUCUGUGCAUGCAUAAUCUAGUCCCCAAAGGAUAAAAUCGCCCAAGCACACGGCCCAAAGCCUCUGUGUGUACUCAGACGAGUUCCAAAGGCAUGUAUCUCAUCUAUAUCAUAUGUAUCUCAAUAUAUGUCUGUAUCUCAUAUUUGUAUCUCUAUAAUCAUCAUACCACAUGCAUAUGCCCCCAAAAAGCAAAAGCGCCAAAACACACGGCCCAAAAUCUCUAUGUGUGUUUAGAUAGGCCCCAAAUGCCUCUUAUCUCAUCUGUAUCACUGUAUCUGGAGGGAAGGAUAUUGUCCAAUGAUUUUAAAAACAAUCUCUAUACUCAUAUUCAUAUACAUUCUAAUUAUACAUUUCUUUCUUUAUCACAUCUAAAUAUAUUUUUCUCAUCUUUAAAAUACUGUCAUAUUUUAUUCAAUGUUGAUACGAAAAAUCAUUAACCAAACAUUUUAAUAUAAUAUCAAUGCGUGUAUAAAAUCCAUUAUGAGGAAAUCAUUAAAUCAGAACAUUUAAAAUACUAUUUUCGCAAACGUGAUUUACUAUCAUAAUUAAUUAUGAAAAUAUGUUUUGUAUAUUUUACUCACAGCGACAGUGUUCACGCUCGGUUAUCGUCCACGUCUGCGAAUCGGUUCUCGCUCACAGAUCCUCCUAAAUAAAAGAAACGGCAUAAUUAUUUUCUGUAAAUCAGAAUUAAGACUAAAUUUAUGCAAUAAACUCGAAACGAACAUCUAUCCAUAAUUUACAACUCACGUAUCGAUAGAAUUACUGAAAUACCCUCAAAUAUGUAAAUCGUUAAAAUACUCCAAAAUCGUAAAUUAUCGAAUUACCCUCGGAAUCGUAAUUACACCCAAUCCUCAAUUUCAGAAAUUACUAAAAUAUCCACAAGCUCAAAAAUUACAAAAUUACCCUCAGAGUGUGAAAUUACUGAAAUGUCAUUGUCGGUCAACGGUCACUGGAAUUUAGUCAACGCUGUCCGGGAAGCUCAAGUAUGAAAGUUCCAAUAACGCUGAGUCUAAUAGUGCCGGCGGUGAGGUCCCACAUGCGGCAACGACGCCGUGAAUUUCCAACAAUUGGCCGGCGGCGAAACAGUGACUCCCGGUGACUGUAGAUGGUCAGGAAUUGAAGAGGGAGUUGUGGGGAACAAAAGUGAGGUGGUGGCGUGGUCAAAUUCCAAUAGAAUCAACGGCAAUGGUAUGGGUUUUGGCCGCGGUUUCUCAAGCUUGAAACGGCGACGAUCCCGUCGGCUUUCAGCGACAAUGACGACUGGGUAUGAUGGCCGGUCUUCAAGCUUCAGAUUGGUACCAAGCUUGACCGGUGGGGUGGCCAGAAUCGCAAGAUAUGGCCGGGUCAAUUUCGGGUCGAAACGGUCGGGUUUUUGGGUCGGUUUUGACAGCUUCUCUCUCACUCUCUCACACGUGUGUCUCUGUUUCCCCUGUUUUCCACCUUCCUCUUUCAUUUAUUUUAACUUUUUAACCGCCUCAUUUUUUUAUUUACUUUUUCACAUAUGUUACAGAAUAACUUAAUCUUUUGCUAUUUUAUUACGUUCAGUUUAUAUACAGCUGAUUCAUUGUAACAAAUGUUAUCAUAAAUAACCACUCGGGCAGUAGCCCGAGUGGCCAGGGCUGCUGCCCUCCAACAAGUUGGAGGGCAGCAGUUCGAACCCCCACAAAAAUAUUGUGGGGGUAUUUCUUUCCUCAAUUAAUUUGAGUGAAGGUAGUCUUCUCUCUUACCCAUGAGUGAGGAGUAGACAUCCCUCGAAUAUUUGUGAGGGUUAAAAUCUGGGCAGAGCUCCAUUAGCAUUGAUGUCAGUUGGUCCCAGUAAUAGUCUGAUUUGUAAAUAUCAGUAAUAGUCUCAUGUAUAUGAGUUGUAAUCUGAGCAAUAGUCUCAUGUAAUCAAAAAAAAAAAAUGUUAUCAUAAAUGAUUCUCGAGUAAUUUCAUUUAUUUACUUUUUCUUCUUUCACAGUUGGCCUGUACGGUAUCAUUUACUUUUAUCUUUUUUCAAAUUUCUUUUAAUCUAGAGAAUGUUUGUUUUAGUCCUGAUCUUGGGUUACUGAAAUGUUUCAUUCCCUUUUCCUAAGUAUUUUUGUUGCUUGUUUAGCGGGCAAUACUGCAACAGUGAUUUCAAUUCACAAAAUUCUGUAAAUACUUAUUAUUCUUAGUGUGGUUUUAAGGUAGAGUGAAGUUAAUAUUAUCAUAAUGGCUUACAUUCCUCCACAUAUGAGGCAUACUACGGACCCCCAGAGGCCAUCUCCAGUUCCAGAGAUGAUUGUGCCUAAAUUCAACAGAAAAUUAAACUUGGGAUCAUCCAAGCAUAAUGCAGACAUGAGUGGAAAGAUCGUGUAUGCAGACCCUGCCAUACACAGGUUCUUCAUAUGUGGCUUGGAUAAUGAUAGCAGCACUCCUUCUGUCCGCUUUGUGGAGUUUUCAGACGACCCUGUUGAGCAUAAAAGAUCGACGACCAUUAAUCUGGCUCGAGGUUACUGAUCUGCAUUUGUAAUUUUAUCUUAAAUAUGUUCUACUUUCUUUCUUUAUUUAUAUCCGGUGCUAACUUUAGUUAUAAUGACAUUUGGAUUUUGGGUUGGUAGAUAACGAUAAAUUAUGUGGGAAUACGUCAAGAAGCCCGUGGGAAUCGAUGGCAGAAAAUGUAUGGCCAGAUGUAUUGAGUGCUUGUAACAUUGUCAAGAACGAAAUGGAGGAAAAGCCAACAAUGGUUGCUAGAUUUGGCCAUCAUCUUUUCCGUGAGUAUGUGAUCUGGUUCCAUUGCUGUAACAGCUUGAACUUUUUAUUAGGUCAUUCCUUUUCUUUGGACUUUGAAAUUAAAGCAGCAAAAAUGCAUGUUCAUACUAAAUUCUGACAGAAAUCUUAUGGUCAUAUAAGUGCUGGCAGCUAAAAUUAUGAGCUUUACCAUUAACCCUACCACCAGCUGUGGAUGACUGUAUAUCGGACCUCCAAGCCGGGGACAAAAGUUAAAAUUGCUUUUAAAAGCCAAAGAGGAAAAGAUUUGUAGAAAGAAGGAAAAAGAAAAUGGCAAUUUAUAGUGCAUGCACUUCUUUCAGACUUGUAUCUCAUAGAAGCUUUCAUGGCAUCUAGAAUUUGGCUUUGGCUUUGCGUAGGACAUUUCAAUUGUUGCUGGUGGAAACAAAUAUAUCCAUUGUCUUAGUAUUGCUUGAUUUCCGGUGCAAGAAACAAAUAAAUUUGUUGCCGUGGCCAAGUUUUGUUGUUUGAUAUUUCAUUGGGACAACAAAGUAUACCACUGCUUCGCCUAUUUCUUACAUCUUUGCAUCAUAUAUUUCCAUUCUUCUAUCACAUCUUUGAAGCUUCUACUAGUUCUCAUAUUAGAAGCGCCUCAAAGAAAUAAUUAUUAUAUUAUUCGUCUUAAUGAAGGAGUGACAUACUGAGCUUAGAAAAUGCAAAAGAAGGUCAGGUUGCUGAAUCUGCUUUGAGCCCACUGAGGAGAUGCUUUUACACUGGUGUCCCUCCUACAUACAUGGGAAAAAUUGUAAAUGAAGUUGUGCCAAAAAUUGGGGUUGGUUUUGUAGAGAACAAGGAUAUAUACCAUGUCAAGGUAGUUCUCCUGCAGUCCUGCUAAAUACUUUAGUAGUCAUCACCAAGUUUCUUUUAUCUCUCACUUAAUUAGCCAUUGAUUCCCCCCCUUCUUUUUCUUGUGUAGUUGUCUGAUGGCACACGACAAAUUACGUGCAAAUGUACUGUUAAAGAAGAUCAAAAGCUUCAUCUCUAUAAGGCAAGUCUUUUGCUACUGGCUGAGUAUUAUUUAUGGACAACGGGUCCAAGUUUAUAAGUUGCCUCUUGUGUUAAGGAGACUUUUGCUAGUGGAAACAUUGAAACAAGACUUAUGAUGUUUUGAAUUGAAUGAUAUAAUCUUUUCACUGUGAAUUAUGAAGGAGAUGUCGAAUAUAAGCGAUAGAUAUCAAGAAAGAGACGAAACCUUUGUGUCUCAAAAGAACCUUUUAGAAGUCUCUCCAGGAAUAAUCUCAGUUAAGAGGAAAAGAAUUAAAAUGAAAAGAAGGAAGAAAAUUCUCAAGAAGUAAGACUAAUUCUACAUCUAAUUGAGGAACAGGCUUGUUAAUUUAACAAGGAAAGCUCCAGUAGCUAUUUAUUAUAAACCAAUUAAAAAUUGAAUUAAAUUAAUAGUUAACUUGUAAUUGAAUGUCUAAUCCAACAAACUAUGCAUAAGAUUACAGAUGUAACUAUGUAAUACAAAAAACCUCUGCUUAUUGUAGACCAAAGUGAAUAUGCCAAUAUUUAGGAAUUUCUUUCAGCAUCAUGGGAUUUAGAUCCCUAUAAUCUUUUUUUUUUUAUUUUAGUGUAGUGACAUCCGGAAGACCAGAAUUAUCACGUACCUCGUAGUAGUCAUUUUAUGUCUUUUAAAGCGCCACAUUAUUUCCCAUACAGUCAUAAUAUAUCUAUUUGUUGUUUAUUUAUUGUUGUCGUGUGUGGAGUCUCAUCUUGAAUAUGAACAUUUUUCCGGUAGGUCGAGCUGAACUCUGUUCGUCACAUGGUAGCAGACAUGUUAUGCGUUCAUAAAAAUCUAGACCUGAGGUUGGCACUAUGUUCAAAGAGUACCUUAUCUGCUCUCUCGGUAAGUCAAUCUGCUACUCUGUGCAUGUUUAGCUGGACUUUUAAGUUACGCCUUCUUUUUUCCCCUUUUUAUUUUUUUUUGGUCAUUUGCUUGUUGGAAUCAUCAUCAUUACAGAAUGAGGAAGAAAAAUUCAAGACCAGGGGAAAUAAGGAAAUAUUAAACUUAUAGCUUUUGUUUUAUCAUAGAAAGUUUACUUUCAAGGGGUUGAGAAAAAAAAAAAUUAUAUA
This 29980-nucleotide long non-coding RNA is filed under the name Citrus x clementina. RNAcentral describes it as "Citrus clementina (C. clementina) long non-coding RNA (CCLE_LNC004792)". Lineage: Eukaryota; Viridiplantae; Streptophyta; Magnoliopsida; Sapindales; Rutaceae. The record is from RNAcentral.